Molecule: long non-coding RNA, 220 nt
Organism: Salvelinus namaycush (lake trout)
Lineage: Eukaryota; Metazoa; Chordata; Actinopteri; Salmoniformes; Salmonidae
Exons: 4
Source: RefSeq, a predicted model, not a curated record
GCAGCACGCUUUGGGAACCUCAUCCGGCUUCAGAAGGUGAACCUGCCAUUGAAAACGGGUUGGGAGGAGGACAUGCUGCCUGAGGAGAGGGAGGUUCCUCUGGUAAACCUCUACCUUACCACCAAGAGAGUGGAGGACAUCGCCCUGAGGCUCGUCUCCCUGCGCCAGGCCUUCACUACCCUGCUUGGUUCCACCCUGAGCAGGAACCAUCUGUUUGUGG